GCAGUGGUGGUUCUGUGGUAGAACUCUUGCCUUUUCUGUGGGAGACCUGGGUUCCAUUCCCAGCCAAUGCA
RNAcentral lists this transfer RNA (71 nucleotides) under Loxodonta africana (African savanna elephant). It matches the Rfam family "tRNA". Rfam says of the family: Transfer RNA (tRNA) molecules are approximately 80 nucleotides in length. Their secondary structure includes four short double-helical elements and three loops (D, anti-codon, and T loops). Further hydrogen bonds mediate the characteristic L-shaped molecular structure. tRNAs have two regions of fundamental functional importance: the anti-codon, which is responsible for specific mRNA codon recognition, and the 3' end, to which the tRNAs corresponding amino acid is attached (by aminoacyl-tRNA synthetases). tRNAs cope with the degeneracy of the genetic code in two manners: having more than one tRNA (with a specific anti-codon) for a particular amino acid; and 'wobble' base-pairing, i.e. permitting non-standard base-pairing at the 3rd anti-codon position. Lineage: Eukaryota; Metazoa; Chordata; Mammalia; Proboscidea; Elephantidae. The record is from Rfam by way of RNAcentral.